AUUGAACGCUGGCGGCAUGCCUUACACAUGCAAGUCGAACGGCAGCACGGGUGCUUGCCCCUGGUGGCGAGUGGCGAACGGGUGAGUAAUACAUCGGAACAUGUCCUGUAGUGGGGGAUAGCCCGGCGAAAGCCGGAUUAAUACCGCAUACGAUCCACGGAUGAAAGCGGGGGACCUUCGGGCCUCGCGCUAUAGGGUUGGCCGAUGGCUGAUUAGCUAGUUGGUGGGGUAAAGGCCUACCAAGGCGACGAUCAGUAGCUGGUCUGAGAGGACGACCAGCCACACUGGGACUGAGACACGGCCCAGACUCCUACGGGAGGCAGCAGUGGGGAAUUUUGGACAAUGGGCGAAAGCCUGAUCCAGCAAUGCCGCGUGUGUGAAGAAGGCCUUCGGGUUGUAAAGCACUUUUGCCCGGAAAGAAAUCCUUGACUCUAAUACAGUCGGGGGAUGACGGUACCGGAAGAAUAAGCACCGGCUAACUACGUG
This 486-nucleotide ribosomal RNA is filed under the name uncultured bacterium. Its description in RNAcentral is "partial 16S ribosomal RNA". It matches the Rfam family "Bacterial small subunit ribosomal RNA", at positions 30 to 507 of the family's 1533-position model. The record is from RNAcentral.